This 85-nucleotide non-coding RNA is filed under the name Chloroflexus aggregans DSM 9485. RNAcentral's name for it is "Chloroflexi-1 RNA". It matches the Rfam family "Chloroflexi-1 RNA". Lineage: Bacteria; Bacillati; Chloroflexota; Chloroflexia; Chloroflexales; Chloroflexaceae. The record is from Rfam by way of RNAcentral.
CGUCCGGUGGAUUGCGACGGGCAGGAAGGCAGGCAUUGGCCGGCCUUCCUGCCCGCUUUCGGUUGCCGCUGACGGGAACACGUCA